CGGAGCUGCCCGGGUGGCGGCGUCCGCGGUGCACUUCCGUGGCUAGAAGCUGUGGGACUUCGUUCCUCGCACUUUGUUUCUUUCGCCAUUCACGAGCCUGACACAGACCUGCCUUGUUGGGGCCACGAGGGUCCUUCCGACCACCCCUGAGGUUCAGAGAGGUGAAGUGCUUUACCAGGAGUCACCCAGCGGAGCUGGCAUGCAGACUCAUCUCCCAGAUAUCCGAGCGGGUCUGCUGGAUGAACCCUCUGCAAAAGGCCCUUUCCUGCACGUCUCUUGCCAUGAGCGGCUCUCCCUGGGCUUGGUGACCCAAGGGUUACGGAGCUAGCUCACACAUGCCGGCGUGUACAUCACCCCCGCCAUCUGGGCUAAUGACAAAUCAUGUAUGCAGCAAAGGAAGGCGGACACACUGCCAGAGGUGUGAUAAGAAAGCAGCUUGCAAGAUAUCGCUGUCAGGAUAUACCCAGCUUAUGUAAAUGCACAGAAAGAAGUCUGCAAAGACGUCUUCAAACUGAAGUAGCAGAUUCUUCUGCGGGGAAGAAAGAGGAAGGCAUGUAGAGAGAAGAAUGCCCCAUGAAGACAGAGGCAGAGAUCGGAGUGAUGUGUCUACAAGCCGGGGAAUGACCAAGACUGCUGGGACCCCAGAAGCCAGGAGAGAGUCAGGGAGCAUUCUCUCCCCCAGAACCUCCUGCAGAACCCAGCCCCGUGGAUGUAAGUGGCAUGAGAGCAGGACCUUACCUCUCCUGGUCAUCCUUAUGGUGCUGUGCACCUGCGUUUGCAGAAUGAACGAGAGACUGGAGACCCCAGGAGCAUGGCAGGAGGUGCUGUUGCCCAGGAUAUCACUGGGAACACCCCAUUUCAGAGGCUGGCCACUGACACCCCAGCCACUCCCUGUGUGUGGUCAACAGAAGAGGUCUUAGCAAUCCGCUUAGACCUGGAGCAAAAUGUUCUCUUUUGAGAUGAGCUUAUGAAGUUGCCCUGUUCUUUCCUGCAUCUGGAGAGUAAUGAGUAUUUCCAAUUGUCACGAGUCUGCUCUGUUUUUCUUCUUCCCACCAGGUUAUCCAGGCCCCAGGAUACUGGUGGAGAGCAUGGGGCAGCAGCAUGUCUUCCCAGCCAUGCUUCCUGCCUCCUCCAGUUAUGGUCCUGUCCAACCAAAGACAUCCCAUCCCCACUAAUUGUGGGGUCCUGGGGUAAUCACUCAGGGUCCCGGUAGUGGGGUCCAUCACCCGUGAGUCCCGAGAGCAGCAGGAGCAUGUUGGGGGCAGGGAGGGGGGCUAACACACCAUCUCUCUCGGGAAGGACCACCCGUUUCUCAAUAGCCUUGGUCUCUCAUCUGAUUUCUGUUUCAUUUUAUUUAAAAUACACUUGUUUCCUUCAAGCUGGGCAUGGGUUGGUCUUCUUGAGCUGAGUAAGGGAUAGUGACUCUGUAAUACAAAGCCACAUCCCAGUCAUUAAUCCCAGAGGAAUGGCAGGCUGCCAGGCAUCUUGCAUAGUGUGUCACCGUUGGUCAUCAUCAUGAUCCUGGGACAGAAGUCUCACCUUUCCCAUUUUGUAGAUGAGGUCAGAGAGGUAAGUCAGGUCCCAGGCCCAAUCCUCUUCCCUCUUCUCCUUUGUUUCUUAAAACAUUAAAAAAAAUUAAUAAAAUUUGUUUUUUAGAGCAGUUUUAGGUUCAUAGCAAAACUGAGGGGGAUUUGCAGAAUUUCUCAGACACCCUUCUGCACCCACACACAUGCAUGGCCUCCCCCCUGGCAAUGAGUGGCUCAUUUGUGACAGCUGAGGACCACACAUUGACAUGUCCUCAUCACCCUGAGUCCAUACUCUACCUUGCUGUUCAUUCUGGGUGGUGGUGACAUGUGUCCCUUAUUGUAGAGCCACACAGAGUGUGUUCACGACCCUGAAAUCCCCAGUGCUCUGCCUCUCCAUCCCUUUCUCCCCUCUAACACCUGAUGACCCCUGAUUUCUUAACCGUCUCCUUAGUUUCGCCUUUUCCAGAAUGUCCUAUGGUUGGUCACCUCUUCAGAUUGGCUUCUUUUACUUAGUGAUGCGCAUUUAAGUUUCUUCCGUGUCUUGUCUUGGUUUGAUAGCUCAUCUCUGUUUAGUGAUGGCUCAUAGCCCACUGUGUUGGAUGUACCAGAGCCUAGCUAUCCAUUUGUCUACCGAGGAACGUCGUAGUUGCUUCCACGUGGGGAUGAUUAUGAACGA
Molecule: long non-coding RNA, 2202 nt
Organism: Lutra lutra (Eurasian river otter)
Lineage: Eukaryota; Metazoa; Chordata; Mammalia; Carnivora; Mustelidae
Exons: 4
Source: RefSeq, a predicted model, not a curated record